UGUAUUUAUUAAAAUUGAACA
Molecule: non-coding RNA, 21 nt
Filed under: Caenorhabditis elegans
Lineage: Eukaryota; Metazoa; Nematoda; Chromadorea; Rhabditida; Rhabditidae
Source: RNAcentral